Molecule: long non-coding RNA, 905 nt
Filed under: Dromaius novaehollandiae (emu)
Lineage: Eukaryota; Metazoa; Chordata; Aves; Casuariiformes; Dromaiidae
Description: lncRNA (ENSDNVG00000012436.1)
Source: RNAcentral
GGGCUCCUCUGCGGGGGGAGAUGAUAGUUGCGCUUUUGUUUGUUUGGAAGUGCUGGCAGGAAAGCGGGGAGGAGAGAAUUACCUAAGUGAUGGAGCGAUUGCAAGGAGCGGGGCAAAGCUGCGGCGCCGGGGCGGACGCGCUCCACCUCCGCACGCCCCGCGGAGCAGCCCCCCGCCGCGGCACGCAGGGCUGGAGCUGCACCCGCUGCCCGAGCGCGGCGGAGCCCCGGGAGCCGCCUGCGACGCCGAGGCUGCAGCGAGCUGCAACGGGCUGCAACGCGCCUGCCGCGAGCCCGGGGAUGAUGGGGGGGAGGCGGCUGCUCUGGGUCGCCCUCUGCGCUGUGACCCUGUGCGGCCCAGCCGCCGGCAGCCCCACGGAUGAGCCCACCACCGCCCUGACGCCUCGGACGGGGACGAGCGGCAGCAGCGCGGCCACCAGCCCAUCGAGCACCGCCGAGCCGGCSCGGGAGACCACCGGUAACCGCGGGCCCUGCUCCCCGCGCUGCUUUUGGGGGGCUGAAGCUUUUCAUGGACCUUUUUCACGUGUGUUUUCAACCCCCAGCUGCAGCGGGACCCCCCACGCCGGCCCCCACCUCCACGGCACACAGCACGGGCCAGCCGAGCCCCCGGCCCGGCCAGACCUCCCCCCGGGCCCCCAGCACCCGGCCGGACGCGAGCAGCGGGCCCCCCGUGGCGACGCACAGCCCCACGGCGCAGCCCGGCACCACGGCAGCACCCGCGACGUCGGGGUCGGCGCUGCCAAGCUCUCCCACCACGCCGGGGCACACGGCCACCUCCGCUCCCACGGCGCCCGGCGGCAGAGCUCGCAACGCCUCCAAGGUGAGGGGGGGUCCACGGUACCCGCUGCACUACCCCACUGCGAUACCCCGCAGCAAUACCCCACU